RNAcentral lists this ribosomal RNA (432 nucleotides) under uncultured bacterium. Its description in RNAcentral is "partial 16S ribosomal RNA". It matches the Rfam family "Bacterial small subunit ribosomal RNA", at positions 29 to 506 of the family's 1533-position model. The record is from RNAcentral.
AACGAACGCUGGCGGCAGGCCUAACACAUGCAAGUCGAGCGAGGACUUCGGUCCUAGCGGCGGACGGGUGAGUAACGCGUGGGAACGUGCCCUUUGCUUCGGAAUAGCCCUGGGAAACUGGGAGUAAUACCGGAUGAGCCCUUUGGGGGAAAGAUUUAUCGGCGAAGGAUCGGCCCGCGUUGGAUUAGGUAGUUGGUGGGGUAAUGGCCUACCAAGCCGACGAUCCAUAGCUGGUUUGAGAGGAUGAUCAGCCGCACUGGGACUGAGACACGGCCCAGACUCCUACGGGAGGCAGCAGUGGGGAAUCUUAGACAAUGGGGGAAACCCUGAUCUAGCCAUGCCGCGGGAGUGAUGAAGGCCUUAGGGUUGUAAAGCUCUUUCAGCUGGGAAGAUAAUGACGGUACCAGCAGAAGAAGCCCCGGCUAACUCCGU